ACAAGCGGAGGAGCAUGUGGUUUAAUUCGAUGAUACGCGAGGAACCUUACCUGGGCUCGAACGUAAGAUGACUGUAGGUGAAAGCUUACAUCUCUUCGGAGCAUUUUACGAGGUGCUGCAUGGUUGUCGUCAGCUCGUGCCGUGAGGUGUCGGGUUAAGUCCCAUAACGAGCGCAACCCCUACCUUUAGUUGCCAUCAGGUAAUGCCGGGGACUCUAAAGGAACUGCCUACGCAAGUAGUGAGGAAGCGGGGAUGACGUCAAAUCAGCACGGCCCUUACGUCCAGGGCUACACACGUGCUACAAUGGCCGAUACAGAGGGCAGCUACCUGGUGACAGGAUGCAAAUCUCCAAAGUCGGUCUCAGUUCGGACCGGAGUCUGCAACCCGACUCCGUGAAGUUGGAUUCGCUAGUAAUCGCGCAUCAGCCAUGGCGCGGUGAAUACGUUCCCGGGUCUU
Molecule: ribosomal RNA, 456 nt
Filed under: uncultured Sphingobacteriales bacterium
Lineage: Bacteria; Pseudomonadati; Bacteroidota; Sphingobacteriia; Sphingobacteriales
Description: bacterial SSU rRNA
Rfam family: Bacterial small subunit ribosomal RNA
Source: RNAcentral